GUCUCUUUGAUUUUAUUUAAUAAGGAGUCGGGCCUGCUCGGUGAUUAAUAUUUAACAGCUGCGGUAUUAUAACUGUACUAAGGUAGCAUAAUAAUUUGCUCUAUAAAUUAAUGGGCUAGAAUGAAUGGUUUGACGAAAAUUAGACUGUCUCUAUUUUAUUUAUUAGAAAUUAAUCAUUAUAGUGAGAAAGCUUAAAUAAUUUAAAGGGACGAAAAGACCCUAUUGAGCUUUAAAGAUAAAUAAAAGUAAUUUAUAUUAAUAUAUAUAUAUAAUAUAUAUUAUUAUCUAUAUUAAUUUUGGUUGGGGUGAUCAAGGAAUAAAUAUGAUUUAGAUAAUGUGUAACUUCCUUAAAUAUAUAAUAGUUGACAGAGUAAUAAACCAAAUUUUUUGCUUAUAAGAUAAGUUACCAUAGGGAUAACAGCGUAAUUUUUUUUGAGAGUUCAUAUUAAAAAAAAAGAUUGCGACCUCGAUGUUGGAUUAAAAUGACCUUAAGGUGUAGAGGCUUUAUUUGGUGAAUCUGUUCGAUUUUUAAAAUUUUAC
RNAcentral lists this ribosomal RNA (540 nucleotides) under Octopus sp. HBH-B. Its description in RNAcentral is "partial 16S ribosomal RNA". It matches the Rfam family "Bacterial large subunit ribosomal RNA", at positions 1817 to 2599 of the family's 2925-position model. The record is from RNAcentral. Lineage: Eukaryota; Metazoa; Mollusca; Cephalopoda; Octopoda; Octopodidae.